AUGAAGAACGCAGCGAAAUGCGAUAAGUAAUGUGAAUUGCAGAAUUCAGUGAAUCAUCGAAUCUUUGAACGCACAUUGCGCCCGCUAGUAUUCUGGCGGGCAUGCCUGUCCGAGCGUCAUUUCAACCCUCAAGCCCCCGGGCUUGGUGUUGGGGAUCGGCGAGCCUCCGCGCCCGCCGUCCCCUAAAUCUAGUGGCGGUCUCGCUGUAGCUUCCUCUGCGUAGUAGCACACCUCGCACUGGGAAACAGCGCGGCCACGCCGUUAAACCCCCAACUUCUGAACGUUUGACCUCGGAUCAGGUAGGAAUACCCGCUGAACUUAAGCAUAUCAAUAAGCGGAGGA
Molecule: unclassified non-coding RNA, 342 nt
Filed under: soil metagenome
Description: partial contains 5.8S ribosomal RNA, internal transcribed spacer 2, and large subunit ribosomal RNA
Rfam family: 5.8S ribosomal RNA (bases 1-119)
Source: RNAcentral